Cyprinus carpio carpio is the source of this 2267-nucleotide long non-coding RNA. The record is from Ensembl. Lineage: Eukaryota; Metazoa; Chordata; Actinopteri; Cypriniformes; Cyprinidae.
GGGAGAAAUGACUCAUCAGAGCAUGUGGAAUCUCAUAUGGCUAUCACAGGAUCGAGGUUUUCUCUUCCUCCUCGCUGCUGCCUGCCUGUUCAUGACUCUGUCUGAGGUAAGUGAAGACUGCCCACUCUGUCUGUCUCCAGCAACAACCUGCGUCCACAGGGACAGCAAAUUGCAGUGCAAAAUGAUCCUCGAGAGCUGCUGGAAAAAAACUUUUGAACAUCUUCGGAUAAGAACAUAUUGUAGAACUGCAUAUGUUUUUAUAAACUCCAGAGCAAGGCCCCCUAAACACACAUACAGUGGUCCUAAAAAUGAUUUGGCCAUUAGUGAAUUGACAAAAUUACUUUUAAUAAUUUAAUAAUCUUUUUAUGAACCAUUUAAACUGUUUUUGCCAUGACUAUUAAGCAACUGGUGUCAGAGUUAUUAUUGGCUGCAUCCAAAAUCUGGACUUGUUGCCUCUCUGCCCUAUCAGGCAAUGACGUUAUAGGCGGUGUUUGUGUGUGAAGGUGCGUAAUGAAACUGAUUGUGGACAGUCUACUGAUGCAGCAUAAUGGUCCAAUGAUCUACAACAAAACAGAGAGAGCUUUGCCCAACUGUCACAAAUGUGCCCAGGAUAGUGGGAUAUUAGUGAAGGAUGUGACCCAAUCAUUGGAUUUGGACAAGCCUUGUUUCCUCCAUAUGCUGCAUGCGGAAAAGUAUGGUUGAUCUGUAUUUUGUUGCAAAAUGCAAAGACAUUUCUACAUUUUUAGGGUCUAUUAUGUGUAUAUAUAUAGAUAUAUAUGCACUACCAGUCAAAAGUUUGGAAUAAGUCUUUAUUUUUCAUAUUUUUGAAAGAAGUGCCUUAUGCUCACCAAGUCUGCAUUUAUUUGACCCAAAAAUACUUAAAAUAUUACUACAAUUUAAAAAGAAGUUUUUUUCUAUUUUAAAAUUAAAUUUAUAUGAUGUAAAACCUGAAUUUUCAGAAACCAUUUCUCCAGUAUUCAGAGUCACAUGGUCAUACAGAAACACAUAUUAUAUAUAAUAAUAUUUGAUCACAUAAAUGCAGUCUUGUUGAGCAUAAGAGACUUCCUUCAAAAACAGUUCAAAAACUUAGUGAUUACUGGUAGUGUACAUUUAUAAUAUGCACUCACCUGCCAAGCAAAAAUGCAAGUAGCCCUGAUUAAAAAAAAAAAAAAAAAACCUUUCUGUUCUCACAUUUGUAAAGGUAAAAGCACACAUUCAGUAUACAGGUGAAUCUCAGGGAGGUUGAUGAGUCACCACUGGAACAGGACACACCCUAUUAACAAGUGUCAACUCCAAACAUCUCCUUGGGUUCCACAGUCAUGUGGGUGUGGGAUCCAAAAAAAGCUGGUCCACAUACAACAACCGAGAGGCAAUGUGCAAACAAAAUGUAGAAAGGCAGCAGCAACCACCCCCUCCCCCAACACUCCUUUGGUCCCCUCCAGGCUAAACUUACCCGACCUGAUUUCUGCAGCCACCGUCCAAUAUAAAAGUUGGAAAAUGCAUAGUUGAACAAGCUCCAGAGCAAAUAAGAGGUCAAUGCUAGUUGUAUCCUUGGAAAGGGUGGGAAGGUAUUGUAUAUAUAAAUAAUAUGUGCAUUCUCUUUCAUUUUAAACAUGAUUUAGUGUCACUGGUAUUUAUGCAACAGUAAGCUCUAUUUAAACAGCAUGAAACAAUUUAGGACAUUAAGAACUAAUAUGAAUGUGUGCAACCGACAGGUCUUAGCGUUUCUCAAUAUGACUGAAUGAAAGGGAGGAGGAAAGGUUAAAUAAACAACUCACUGAAAUCCCAGUCUUGGCUCUUGGCAAAUACAAUUUUUUUCUAAUUGGCAUGAUUAUAUAUUUAUGAUUCAUGUUCAGCAUGAGGGUUAUAGUAUAGAGUAUAUGCAUAACAAAAACUCAAAUGAAAAGCUCAAAUGUUUUCCAUCUUUUUAUUUUUAGAUUGCUGUUAUCCAUUAAAUGCUGUUAAAGACUUUAAAGACAAAGUCAGGUUCUGUUUUCUUCCCUCUUGAGUGGUUUUGAGAGUUUUUGGCUGUUUAUGCACAGUGAUUCGUGGUUAAUUGCCACGGCUUUCUGCAUUAUGAAAUCAGGCUUAACCUGUAUCCUGAAAAGCUUAUUCCACAGGAGAGCAAUUCACUUAUGUUUAAUAUCGCUGAUAUGUGGAGGAAUUACUUGAUGGAGGCAGGGGUUUCAUCAGGAAGCUUGCAGUGGUACCCUGGAGAGGCUGCUAGAAUGAAUGUUCCUAAUGGACAGCUGGAUCCAGACAAUUCA